RNAcentral lists this long non-coding RNA (354 nucleotides) under Chinchilla lanigera (long-tailed chinchilla). RNAcentral's name for it is "lncRNA (ENSCLAG00000028420.1)". The record is from RNAcentral. Lineage: Eukaryota; Metazoa; Chordata; Mammalia; Rodentia; Chinchillidae.
AUGUGGUCAAGGACAAGGGGUCCACACUCACCCCUGUCAGAGGUGUCUUGUCUGCCCAACACUUUGUCCAGGGCAUCAAGAACCUGGAGAGAAGCCCCAUGGGACCCUCCAUCUGCUAACAGUACGGCCGGGAUCUCUGCUGCAGAGAGUGAACCGCACAUACAAAGUGAUCCUGGGAAAGCCUCAGUGUUUCCAUCUGUAAAGUGGGGACCUAGGCAAACACCCUGGAGAACCCUUUAUUCUUGGAUGAAAGCAAAAAAGGACCCAAGGUUGUGCUCAUCAGGCAGCUGAGGAGGUAAUGGGCUUCCCAGGGAGAGGAGGUACGGGGGGGAAAGCCCUGGAAGGAGUAGAGGU